This 578-nucleotide ribosomal RNA is filed under the name uncultured Streptomyces sp. RNAcentral describes it as "bacterial SSU rRNA". It matches the Rfam family "Bacterial small subunit ribosomal RNA", at positions 102 to 694 of the family's 1533-position model. Lineage: Bacteria; Bacillati; Actinomycetota; Actinomycetes; Kitasatosporales; Streptomycetaceae. The record is from RNAcentral.
ACGGGUGAGUAACACGUGGGCAAUCUGCCCUUCACUCUGGGACAAGCCCUGGAAACGGGGUCUAAUACCGGAUAUCACUUCCGCAGGCAUCUGUGGGGGUUGAAGGCUCCGGCGGUGAAGGAUGAGCCCGCGGCCUAUCAGCUUGUUGGUGAGGUAAUGGCUCACCAAGGCGACGACGGGUAGCCGGCCUGAGAGGGCGACCGGCCACACUGGGACUGAGACACGGCCCAGACUCCUACGGGAGGCAGCAGUGGGGAAUAUUGCACAAUGGGCGAAAGCCUGAUGCAGCGACGCCGCGUGAGGGAUGACGGCCUUCGGGUUGUAAACCUCUUUCAGCAGGGAAGAAGCGAAAGUGACGGUACCUGCAGAAGAAGCGCCGGCUAACUACGUGCCAGCAGCCGCGGUAAUACGUAGGGCGCAAGCGUUGUCCGGAAUUAUUGGGCGUAAAGAGCUCGUAGGCGGUCUGUCGCGUCGGAUGUGAAAGCCCGGGGCUUAACCCCGGGUCUGCAUUCGAUACGGGCAGACUAGAGUGUGGUAGGGGAGAUCGGAAUUCCUGGUGUAGCGGUGAAAUGCGCAGA